RNAcentral lists this long non-coding RNA (355 nucleotides) under Capra hircus (goat). Its description in RNAcentral is "lncRNA (ENSCHIG00010024055.1)". Lineage: Eukaryota; Metazoa; Chordata; Mammalia; Artiodactyla; Bovidae. The record is from RNAcentral.
GCCCCAGGUGUCCUGCAGCCAACUGCAUCUCAAGGUAGAACCAGGACAUAGUGACAUGUUGUGUUUUGUCCAUGAAGAUGGAAAGAUCCUAGACUCUAGAUACUGGUACUACAAGGAAGGCUCUUGGUGAAAGACCUAGGCUUUGAUGUCAUAUUGACCUAAAGUUGAAUUUUGAGUCCACUUCUUCUUAACUCAGUAAGAGUUCAGGACCUCAAUUUUCUCACUGGGUCCUGGAAGCUAUGUUUGCACUACAGGACCUGCAAAGAAUCAAUCCGGUGUUGAUUACCUGAUCAAAUCUGAGUCAAUCAAAGUAUCUUCUGGGGAAUUGGAAUUGGGAGACAAAAGGGUUAUCAAU